This is a ribosomal RNA of 499 nucleotides. It matches the Rfam family "Bacterial small subunit ribosomal RNA", at positions 27 to 504 of the family's 1533-position model.
GGACGAACGCUGGCGGCGUGCCUAAUACAUGCAAGUCGAGCGGACCUUGGGUUUCCUUCGGGAAACGUCUUGGUUAGCGGCGAACGGGUGAGUAACACGUAGGCAACCUGCCCGCAAGACCGGGAUAACAUUCGGAAACGAAUGCUAAGACCGGAUACGCAGCCUGCUCGCAUGAGCGAGGCUGGGAAAGACGGAGCAAUCUGUCACUUGCGGAUGGGCCUGCGGCGCAUUAGCUAGUUGGUGGGGUAAAGGCCUACCAAGGCGACGAUGCGUAGCCGACCUGAGAGGGUGACCGGCCACACUGGGACUGAGACACGGCCCAGACUCCUACGGGAGGCAGCAGUAGGGAAUCUUCCACAAUGGGCGCAAGCCUGAUGGAGCAACGCCGCGUGAGUGAGGAAGGCUUUCGGGUCGUAAAGCUCUGUUGCCAGGGAAGAAUAAGGAUGUGUUAACUGCACAUUCGAUGACGGUACCUGAGAAGAAAGCCCCGGCUAACUAC